ACUAGCCAACGUGCGUUAUUAACAACGGCAAAAUAAGUUCUACGCUGUUGUCAUUGUCCGGAGUAUAUAAGAAGGUACGAGAUACAGUACCGGUCCGCGUCCUCUCCCAGUAGAGUGAUGACGGCGGAGUCGGCCAGAGUGAUGGCGGGGGCGCUGAAGAACUCCCCGAUGACGACCAGGAGAAGCAGCAAGAAGAACGUCUUCUGGAUGUUAGGGGUCCUGGAUGAGUGAGAAGAGUUGGAAUGUAACGGCGUGACCCAGUCGCUCUGGGUGUUGGGGUCGAAGUUGGUGGC
Long non-coding RNA from Amyelois transitella, 293 nucleotides. RefSeq lists it as uncharacterized. The transcript has 3 exons. The record is from RefSeq and is a predicted model, not a curated record. NCBI's taxonomy places the organism in Eukaryota, Metazoa, Arthropoda, Insecta, Lepidoptera, Pyralidae.